RNAcentral lists this ribosomal RNA (490 nucleotides) under uncultured bacterium. RNAcentral describes it as "partial 16S ribosomal RNA". It matches the Rfam family "Bacterial small subunit ribosomal RNA", at positions 29 to 507 of the family's 1533-position model. The record is from RNAcentral.
AUUGAACGCUGGCGGCAGGCCUAACACAUGCAAGUCGAGCGGCAGCACAGGGGGGGUUGCCCCCUGGGUGACGCGCGGGGCACGGGUGUGAAAUGUCCGGGAAACUGCACUAUGGCGGGGGAUAACUAGUGGAAACGGUAGCUCUAACAGCAUAUCGUCCCAACACCAAAGAGCGGGAGAUUCUGGCCCCUUGCCAUCAGGUGUGCGCAGAUGGGAUUAGCUAGUAGGUGGGGUAAUGGCUCACCCAGGCGACGAUCCGUAGCUGGUCUGAGAGGAUGAGCAGCCACACUGGAACUGAGACACGGUCCAGACUCCUACGGGAGGCAGCAGUGGGGAAUAUUGCACAAUGGGCGCAAGCCUGAUGCAGCCAUGCCGCGUGGGUGAAGAAGGCCUUCGGGUUGUAAAGCACUUUCAGCGGGGAAGAAGGUGGGGAGCUUAAUACGUUCAUCUAUUGACGUUACCCGCAGAAGAAGCACCGGCUAACUCCGUG